Molecule: unclassified non-coding RNA, 238 nt
Filed under: Helotiales sp.
Lineage: Eukaryota; Fungi; Ascomycota; Leotiomycetes; Helotiales
Description: partial contains 5.8S ribosomal RNA, internal transcribed spacer 2, and large subunit ribosomal RNA
Source: RNAcentral
CGCACAUUGCGCCCCUUGGUAUUCCGGGGGGCAUGCCUGUUCGAGCGUCAUUUCAACCCUCAAGCAUUGCUUGGUCUUGGGCCCUGUCGGCAACGGCUGGCCUUAAAAGCAGUGGCGGUGCCGCCUCGGCUCUGCGCGUAGUAAUGUUCUCGCGUGUGAGCGGUGGCGAGCAGUGGCCAGCAACCCCUCAACUUCUAUGGUUGACCUCGAAUCAGGUAGGGAUACCCGCUGAACUUAA